AUUGAACGCUGGCGGCAGGCCUAACACAUGCAAGUCGAGCGAGCGGCGGUCGGGUGAGUAAUGUCUGGGAAACUGCCUGAUGGAGGGGGAUAACUACUGGAAACGGUAGCUAAUACCGCAUACCAUCAGAUGUGCCCAUAUGGGUUUAGCUAGUAGGUGGGGUAAUGGCUCACCUAGGCGACGAUCCCUAGCUGGUCUGAGAGGAUGACCAGCCACACUGGGACUGGGACACGGUCCAGACUCCUAGGGGAGGCAGCAGUGGGGAAUGUUGCACAAUGGGCGCACGCCUGAGCCAGCCAUGCCGCGGGUGUGAAGAAGGCCUUCGGGUUGUAAAGCACUUUCAGCGGGGAGGCGUUACCCGCAGAAGAAGCACCGGCUAACUCCGUGCCAGCAGCCGCGGUAAUAC
This 406-nucleotide ribosomal RNA is filed under the name uncultured bacterium. Its description in RNAcentral is "partial 16S ribosomal RNA". It matches the Rfam family "Bacterial small subunit ribosomal RNA", at positions 30 to 526 of the family's 1533-position model. The record is from RNAcentral.